Long non-coding RNA from Mus musculus (house mouse), 508 nucleotides. RefSeq annotates it as predicted gene, 46331. NCBI's taxonomy places the organism in Eukaryota, Metazoa, Chordata, Mammalia, Rodentia, Muridae. The transcript is spliced from 3 exons. The record is from RefSeq and is a predicted model, not a curated record.
UUGAAAUGUUUUCUCUGUUUUAAGCAAGUAGACUUAUGAUGUACUUUCUGAUUUUUUUCUUCUGAUAGUACAUAUGUCUGUCCACAUUGAAAUCAUAGACACUGACAAAUAUACAGGAGAGAGGAAAGCUUUCAAAUAAGUGGUGAUUAAGUCCUCAGGAAAAUGCUAUCAGAUAAGUGAAGAAAUAGUGGAGGUGGUAUAAGGAAACUCUGUAGUGAUGUGUGGAGGAGCCGAUAAUGGAAGUUGCACACACCCAAGAUGGAGGCUGGACAAAAGCCUUGAGUGAGAAGCAAGGCCAAAAGACUCAAUCAUUCCUCAGCAGGGGACAGAAGGAUUGCAAGGAAUGAGAAAGUACUUAGUGACCAUCCAUGUCCCACCAUUUCCAGACAUUUCUCUAUGUAUUGUCCAAUUAAACAGUGAUUUUACAAUUGACCAAAAUCACAUAUCUUAUAUGGAAUGAAGGCUACAUCAUGGGCACCCAGAAUUCUGCCUUUUACUUGCUAUGUGG